CCCACUCACAGUUCUUCAUUUUCAAAUUCCUUAGUGAGCAGUUGGUUUCGUUGUCUUAAUUUGGGGCAGUAAUGAUUUCUGAGAAGCAGGUGAUUGAUAACGCGCAAAUUCAAAGCCCCUUGGGGGCUGCAUUGUAGCAUGGUGUGGGGAUGGGGAGACAGAGGGCUGGUAGGAUCCCGAAUUCCUAGUUUUUCUCUCCCUCUCCCUUGCUUCUUCAUUUUCUUCCUUCAGGCUUUCUUCCAUUUCUUUCUUCCAUCAAAUAUUUGUGGAGCUGGAACUGGGCUUCACUAUCAUAUUCCAAGGCCCUGUACUGGGAACAGACAAAGAAGCUCCUCCCAGAGACUGGAAGAAUGGUACAAGGUGUGAAAACCAAGGCUUAAAGCAUGCAAGUUAUUUGCCCGAGGUUUUUCAGCCACAAAUGAAGAAGCUGGGUCUGCUCCACACCUGUGAACCAGGCUAUUUCCACCAUAACCUGAACUCAGAUGAGCACCAGCCCAUGGAGAAUAGUCCAGAAGGCUGCCCAUAGCCUUAAAGGACAGUGUGAGCAUUAAUCACAGCCUGUUGCAUUUGAAGACCACCUCCGGAACAAUGUCGUUUUAAAUCUAUGCCCAAGGCUGAACUUGGAUUGGAAAGAUGGGAGAGACAGCAGGCCUGGGUGUAUUCAGGAUUAUUUCCUAAUAACUCACUCUCUCCUCCCUCCUCCCUUUCUUGAAACAGCCUCACAAAAUGAGUGUUAUAUUCUGGAUUAUCAGAAGAGAAAUGUGAGAUGCAGGCAGGUUGAGAAAAUUGCUCCAAGUCACUUCGGGAAUGUGUGCAUGGACAAGGAAGCAGGAAGAUCCCAAGGAAAAAGAAGCAGCAUGAAAAAUGACAAGAAGACUACAACAGAAGUUUCUACGAACUUUGCACACACAGAAGAGGGUUCUUUUAGUUUUAGUCAGGAUAGGAAAAGGACAAAAUAAAAGUGAACAUUUAUUGAGCCAGG
This 982-nucleotide long non-coding RNA is filed under the name Homo sapiens (human). RNAcentral's name for it is "HSALNT0393506". The record is from RNAcentral. Lineage: Eukaryota; Metazoa; Chordata; Mammalia; Primates; Hominidae.